GAAAUUCGGAUUAAUACCGCAUAAUACUUUAGAGUGGCAUCACUUAUAAGUUAAAACUCCGGUGGUUAAAGAUGGGCAUGCGUGACAUUAGUUAGUUGGUGUGGUAACGGCACACCAAGACUACGAUGUCUAGGGGUUCUGAGAGGAUGAUCCCCCACACUGGUACUGAGACACGGACCAGACUCCUACGGGAGGCAGCAGUAAGGAAUAUUGCGCAAUGGAGGCAACUCUGACGCAGCCAUGCCGCGUGCAGGAAGACGGCCUUAUGGGUUGUAAACUGCUUUUAUAAAGGGAUAAACUCACCCUCGUGAGGGUGACUGAAGGUACUUUAUGAAUAAGCACCGGCUAACUCCGUGCCAGCAGCCGCGGUAAUACGGAGGGUGCAAGCGUUAUCCGGAUUUAUUGGGUUUAAAGGGUGCGCAGGCGGACCUGUCAGUCAGUGGUGAAAUCCCGGGGCUCAACUCCGGAACUGCCAUUGAUACUGCGGGUCUUGAAUACGGUUGAAGGUAGGCGGAAUGUAGCAUGUAGCGGUGAAAUGC
This 539-nucleotide ribosomal RNA is filed under the name uncultured bacterium. RNAcentral describes it as "bacterial SSU rRNA". It matches the Rfam family "Bacterial small subunit ribosomal RNA", at positions 153 to 689 of the family's 1533-position model. The record is from RNAcentral.